CUCUCUAUAAAGGUUUUUUCCUGUCUCUUUAUUGAGAUAGGUAAAAGAUCUACAGCUUUUAACAGGUACAUAGGCUGAGGCCUUAUCUCACUCACUUGAGAAAGGCAGAAGAAAAAGCUGGUUCAGAGACAGCUGAGGAAAGGUAGUUGGUGAGCGUUUUGGACUGGCUGUGGUAGCUCCUCAGCUUGGAUGCAAGGUUGGAAUUCUAAUCUCAGCAAACGAAUAUACCCCAGCAGGCAAGAUCGAUGUACCAUCUCUAGCAGCGUCCCAUCUCCAACUGUGACCUACAGCAGCUCARUAGUAAGUUUAUAAAAGAAUAGGACAUACUUUCCAAGCCUUCAGAAUU
This is a long non-coding RNA of Nothoprocta perdicaria, 346 nucleotides long. RefSeq lists it as uncharacterized. The transcript is spliced from 3 exons. The record is from RefSeq and is a predicted model, not a curated record. Lineage: Eukaryota; Metazoa; Chordata; Aves; Tinamiformes; Tinamidae.